UGGUUUUGAACGUAUCUCGUGCCC
Molecule: non-coding RNA, 24 nt
Filed under: Rattus norvegicus (Norway rat)
Lineage: Eukaryota; Metazoa; Chordata; Mammalia; Rodentia; Muridae
Source: RNAcentral